GACGAACGCUGGCGGCGUGCUUAACACAUGCAAGUCGAACGGAAAGGCCCUGCUUUUGUGGGGUGCUCGAGUGGCGAACGGGUGAGUAACACGUGAGUAACCUGCCCUUGACUUUGGGAUAACUUCAGGAAACUGGGGCUAAUACCGGAUAGGAGCUCCUCCUCCACGGGGGGGGUGGGAAAGUUUCGGCGGUUGGGGAUGGACUCGCGGCUUGUCGGCUUGUUGUGGGGGUAGUGGCUUACCAAGGCUUUGACGGGUAGCCGGCCUGGGAGGGUGACCGGCCACAUUGGGACUGGGAUACGGCCCAGACUCCUACGGGAGGCAGAAGUGGGGAAUAUUGCACAAUGGGCGGAAGCCUGAUGCCGCAACGCCACGUGCGGGAUGACGGCCUUCGGGUUGUAAACCGCUUUCGCCUGUGACGAAGCGUGAGUGACGGUAAUGGGUAAAGAAGCACCGGCUAACUACGUG
Molecule: ribosomal RNA, 468 nt
Filed under: uncultured bacterium
Lineage: Bacteria
Description: partial 16S ribosomal RNA
Rfam family: Bacterial small subunit ribosomal RNA
Source: RNAcentral